Molecule: ribosomal RNA, 489 nt
Filed under: uncultured bacterium
Lineage: Bacteria
Description: partial 16S ribosomal RNA
Rfam family: Bacterial small subunit ribosomal RNA
Source: RNAcentral
UUGCACGCUGGCGGCAGGCCUAACACAUGCAAGUCGCACGGUAACAGGAAGAAGCUUGCUUCUUUGCUGACGAGUGGCGGACGGGUGAGUAAUGUCUGGGAAACUGCCUGAUGGAGGGGGAUAACUACUGGAAACGGUAGCUAAUACCGCAUAAUGUCGCAAGACCAAAGAGGGGGACCUUCGGGCCUCUUGCCAUCGGAUGUGCCCAGAUGGGAUUAGCUAGUAGGUGGGGUAACGGCUCACCUAGGCGACGAUCCCUAGCUGGUCUGAGAGGAUGACCAGCCACACUGGAACUGAGACACGGUCCAGACUCCUACGGGAGGCAGCAGUGGGGAAUAUUGCACAAUGGGCGCAAGCCUGAUGCAGCUAUGCCGCGUGUAUGAAGAAGGCCUUCGGGUUGUAAAGUACUUUCAGCGGGGAGGAAGGGAGUAAAGUUAAUACCUUUGCUCAUUGACGUUACCCGCAGAAGAAGCACCGGCUAACUCCGUG